CUGCCGUCUACUCUUGGCCAGCCUUCUGAAAGGAAGAUUAAUCCAGGAUGGGAUCAUGAGUUCACAUGUCCGCAUGAUUAAAGGUAUUUUCCGGUAGACGAUGGGGAUGCGUUCCAUUAGAUAGUAGGCGGGGUAACGGCCCACCUAGUCAACGAUGGAUAGGGGCUCUGAGAGGAAGGUCCCCCACAUUGGAACUGAGACACGGUCCAAACUCCUACGGGAGGCAGCAGUGAGGAAUAUUGGUCAAUGGGCGAUGGCCUGAACCAGCCAAGUAGCGUGAAGGAUGACUGCCCUAUGGGUUGUAAACUUCUUUUAUAAAGGAAUAAAGUCGGGUAUGCAUACCCGUUUGCAUGUACUUUAUGAAUAAGGAUCGGCUAACUCCGUGCCAGCAGCCGCGGUAAUACGGAGGAUCCGAGCGUUAUCCGGAUUUAUUGGGUUUAAAGGGAGCGUAGAUGGAUGUUUAAGUCAGUUGUGAAAGUUUGCGGCUCAACCGUAAAAUUGCAGUUGAUACUGGAUGUCUUGAGUGCAGUUGAGGCAGGCGGAAUUCGUGGUGUAGCGGUGAAAUGCUUAGAUAUCACGA
This 580-nucleotide ribosomal RNA is filed under the name uncultured bacterium. RNAcentral's name for it is "bacterial SSU rRNA". It matches the Rfam family "Bacterial small subunit ribosomal RNA", at positions 126 to 702 of the family's 1533-position model. The record is from RNAcentral.